RNAcentral lists this ribosomal RNA (552 nucleotides) under Mycobacterium sp. ORS 1481. Its description in RNAcentral is "bacterial SSU rRNA". It matches the Rfam family "Bacterial small subunit ribosomal RNA", at positions 931 to 1479 of the family's 1533-position model. Lineage: Bacteria; Bacillati; Actinomycetota; Actinomycetes; Mycobacteriales; Mycobacteriaceae. The record is from RNAcentral.
GGCGGAGCAUGUGGAUUAAUUCGAUGCAACGCGAAGAACCUUACCUGGGUUUGACAUGCACAGGACGACUGCAGAGAUGUGGUUUCCCUUGUGGCCUGUGUGCAGGUGGUGCAUGGCUGUCGUCAGCUCGUGUCGUGAGAUGUUGGGUUAAGUCCCGCAACGAGCGCAACCCUUGUCCUAUGUUGCCAGCGGGUUAUGCCGGGGACUCGUAGGAGACUGCCGGGGUCAACUCGGAGGAAGGUGGGGAUGACGUCAAGUCAUCAUGCCCCUUAUGUCCAGGGCUUCACACAUGCUACAAUGGCCGGUACAAAGGGCUGCGAUGCCGUGAGGUGGAGCGAAUCCUUUCAAAGCCGGUCUCAGUUCGGAUCGGGGUCUGCAACUCGACCCCGUGAAGUCGGAGUCGCUAGUAAUCGCAGAUCAGCAACGCUGCGGUGAAUACGUUCCCGGGCCUUGUACACACCGCCCGUCACGUCAUGAAAGUCGGUAACACCCGAAGCCGGUGGCCUAACCCCUUGUGGGAGGGAGCCGUCGAAGGUGGGAUCGGCGAUUGGG